Non-coding RNA from Paramuricea clavata, 385 nucleotides. The record is from the annotation of a GenBank genome assembly. NCBI's taxonomy places the organism in Eukaryota, Metazoa, Cnidaria, Anthozoa, Malacalcyonacea, Plexauridae.
CCAGUUUUGUUGUAAUGUUUUUGCGCAGACCCUUAAAAACAUGACGUAUUAAUAAAUUGUAACACAAAAUACCAGAAUCAAAAUCUCGUGCACAACGGCCAAAUUGAGCACUUUUUCAUGAUUAAAAAAAUAUGACAUACCUAAUGUCCACGUACCAGCGCGGUUUGGAAAUGUGUAUGCUUAAUUUUGCGAUUUUUUAUUUAAUUUUUCACAGAAAUAAAAAAGAUUGCUUCAUAAUGCCAUAUUUACACACAUAAAAAUAUAGUUUCAUUUAUUUUUUAUUCAUUUUUUCACACAAAUAAAAGAUGUCUUCUGUAAUGCAAUAUUUACACACACAAACACAUGUUUUUGUCUUGGAUCAUGCAAAAAUGGUCGCGGUUCGGGA